ACCGGCCCAGCGCGAGUAAAAUAGGAGCAGACACCUCCGCUUCCGGCCCCUACUGCCCACAAACGCCCUUCUCCCCAUUUCACUCACCCUCUGCCUCUAGGGUUUCCCCCGAUACAAUGGCGAAGUGCAGGAUCUGCCGCCAGUACUGGAGACACCUUGUCAAGCACCACAGCUACGCAGAUCCAAGCCGAUGUCGCGCACCCAGUCAUCAUCGCCAGUCAUCGUCUUCUUCUGCAGCAACGACCCAAUCUCGUGCGUGGGUGGAGUCGACAAGCGCCGGUUUCUUCUUCCUCAACGACGGCCACCAAUUCCGAAUCCCAACAGGGUGAAGAAUACGAACAUCUAGAGUACAUCAUUCGAGGACCACCCCCUGCUAUCCAAUACUGCGGAGAGCUUGAAAAGUACUGUCACUGGGGCAAUGAAGUGAAGCUCUAUCGGCGCCAUGUGGACAAGUUGUAUGCAAUGUUCCCCCGCAAAAUACGAGAUAUCAAAUACUAUGUCUGCACCGUCAACAAAACAUUCGCACAGCAAGGCCAACGGAUGUAUUUUCAGGUCCACUACACCAAAUAAAACCUGAAAAAGUACAUUAAUCCAGAUGAUGACAUGCUCAAGGUCAAGCUCGCAAACAGUAGUCUGCACACCAAUUGUCGUAUCAUGUUGGGAACAGAAAAGAGAGCAACAGUAACCAGAAACUGGUCAGAGUUCCGCCGUUGUGCAAACAUCCAUGAAGGAGAUAUCUGCGCCUUCCGUUUCAACCUUACCAUAGAGCACCGCCUGACUCUCAUCAUCCAUGUGCUCUAAAUGGACCAUCAACAGCAACACAGGCCUUCUGCAUGCAUAGCUUGUGGCUUUAAAAACAUCUAAUUUGGCUCUAUGAUAGGAUGAACCUUACCUUGGUCUCCAAUGAUGACAUGCAUUGCUUUUGUACAAAUGCCGCCUAUAUUAUAAUCUAUGUAACCCUAGAUGCUAUUACUCAUGUGCACCUCAUCCAUCUACUGAACUUUCGCCAGGCAUAAUGCUUAUUCCUUUCUUUCUAAUACCAUUAUAAAUAUUCUGUGUACCAAUCUACCC
RNAcentral lists this ribosomal RNA (1071 nucleotides) under Triticum aestivum (bread wheat). RNAcentral's name for it is "partial small subunit ribosomal RNA". Lineage: Eukaryota; Viridiplantae; Streptophyta; Magnoliopsida; Poales; Poaceae. The record is from RNAcentral.